Molecule: ribosomal RNA, 398 nt
Filed under: uncultured bacterium
Lineage: Bacteria
Description: partial 16S ribosomal RNA
Rfam family: Bacterial small subunit ribosomal RNA
Source: RNAcentral
CCUACGGGAGGCAGCAGUGAGGAAUAUUGGUCAAUGGGAGAGAUCCUGAACCAGCCAAGCCGCGUGAGGGAAGACGGCACUAUGGGUUGUAAACCUCUUUUGCCGGAGAACAAAACCCGGGACGUGUCCCGGACUGCGUGUAUCCGAAGAAAAAGCAUCGGCGAACUCCGUGCCAGCAGCCGCGGUAAUACGGAGGAUGCGAGCGUUAUCCGGAUUUAUUGGGUUUAACGGGUUGGUAGGCGGUCCGUUAAGUAAGCGGUAAAAUGGCGGGGCGAAACCCCGUUGAGCCGUGGAAGCUGGCAGACUUGAGUGGGCGAGAGGUAAGCGGAAUGCGCGGUGUAGCGGUGAAAUGCAUAGAUAUCGCGCAGAACUCCGGUUGCGAAGGCAGCGUACCGGCG